Molecule: long non-coding RNA, 260 nt
Filed under: Mytilus galloprovincialis (Mediterranean mussel)
Lineage: Eukaryota; Metazoa; Mollusca; Bivalvia; Mytilida; Mytilidae
Source: RNAcentral
UAAGUCUACCAAUUUAUAACAAUAUAUCAAUAAGAAGAGAUCAUUUGGAUUUUAGUGGUUGGGGCAAAGAAGUUAUCCAUGAACUUAUUGGGAUGUGUUCUUUUCAAAUUUAAAUCGAAAGGCGUUCACUCCUAGAUUUAUUUUACCUCGUGUCCACGAACGAAUUUUUACCGUUAAUCAGCAUCUAGCUAAGAUAAAAAAAAAAUCCUAGCCCUUUCGAUCCAUAUACAUGAAUCUAUAUUUACCUUUUUCACAUAAAC